Gossypium raimondii (Peruvian cotton) is the source of this 771-nucleotide long non-coding RNA. RefSeq lists it as uncharacterized. The transcript has 3 exons. NCBI's taxonomy places the organism in Eukaryota, Viridiplantae, Streptophyta, Magnoliopsida, Malvales, Malvaceae. The record is from RefSeq and is a predicted model, not a curated record.
UAAAAACCCUAAAAGUUUUUUUUCCCUUCAAGUCGUUUGCUUCUUUUUUCUUGUUUUACUCAGCGGCGGAGUCAGCCUUCGGGCUGGCUACCGUUCGCCUUUUUCUCCCUAUCACAAUUCUCUCUUUCUUUUUGUGAGCUCUCCUUCACCUCAAUUGUCUUUUCAGUUUGCAGAUUUAUUUUGUGAGCUCUCAUUCACCUCAAUUAUUCUGUAAGGUCCCCAUUCACCUCAUGUGUCUUUUUUUUCCCCAUUUUGCUAUAGAUCUAUUUUGCGAGCUCCCCAUUCACCCCAUGUGUCUGGACAUCUUCAUUGUCAACCCAAGUUGUGAUGGACAAAUUAUGGUGUCGUCGUUGAACCUUCACCGACUAUCAGUAGUUUCUCUUGAAAAGAACAUGUGUUUCUACCCGAAUGGAAACCGGAAAAAUGAUAGGAAGGAUCAGUCGUUGAUACGACAUCUUUACCCUUUGGUUGGGAAGUUAAUGCACAGUUCUCUCAUUCUUGGUGUUGGAUCAGCUCCGUGACAAAUACUUGACCAUUCAAGAUGGAACUAUAAGGCGUUAUCAUGAGUCGAAGGCCGAAUGGGGUGUUCUAUGGGAUAUCUCGUUGAUGACUGUUGCAUAUCCGGGUCAGAAGUUUUCGUCAUUGAACAAUAUUUACAUUUGGAAAAUCGAAAAGUUUUCGGUAUUGGAUUAGGCUUCACCAUACAAGGGAUUGUUUGGUAAACUAUUUAUAAAUCAUAAUCCAGAAUGAAUAAUCUUUGCACUUGCUGUC